ACGCUCGACACCUACGGGAGGCAGCAGUGGGGAAUAUUGCACAAUGGGGGAAACCCUGAUGCAGCGACGCCGCGUGGAGGAAGAAGGUCUUCGGAUUGUAAACUCCUGUUGUUGGGGAAAAAGAGGAUGGUACCCAACAAGGAAGUGACGGCUAACUACGCGCCAGCAGCCGAGGUAAUCUGAGCGGGCUGGCAAGGC
Molecule: ribosomal RNA, 198 nt
Filed under: uncultured bacterium
Lineage: Bacteria
Description: partial 16S ribosomal RNA
Rfam family: Bacterial small subunit ribosomal RNA
Source: RNAcentral